Molecule: ribosomal RNA, 499 nt
Filed under: Asterionella formosa
Lineage: Eukaryota; Bacillariophyta; Fragilariophyceae; Tabellariales; Tabellariaceae
Description: eukaryotic LSU rRNA
Rfam family: Eukaryotic large subunit ribosomal RNA
Source: RNAcentral
UAAUUAAGCGGAGGAAAAGAAACUAACCAGGAUUCCCUCAGUAAGGGCGACUGAAGCGGGAAGAGCUCCACUUGUGAAUCUGCGCUUGCGCCGAAUUGUGGUGUGUUCACGUUAUUGUCCGGGCCAAGUCCCUUGGAAAAGGGCAGCAGAGAGGGUGAGACUCCCGUUCGCCUGGACUUUUGAGUGAACAUGAUCGAGUCGAGUUGUUUGGGAUUGCAGCUCAAAGCGGGUGGUAAAUUCCAUCGAAAGCUAAAUAUUGGUGGGAGACCGAUAGCGUACAAGUACCGUGAGGGAAAGAUGCAAAGAACUUUGAAAAGAGAGUUAAAGAGUACCUGAAAUUGCUGAAAGGGAAGCGAAGGAAACCAGUGUCGUCCCCGUCAUACUUCUCUGCUCGCUUGCGGGCAGGGCGCUGUGGCUGGAUCGGUCAGACUUGGUUGUGAGUGUCGGAAAGGCGCCAGAGGAGUUGACUCUGGUUGCUGGCGACAAUUGCGACUGAGGC